Molecule: ribosomal RNA, 262 nt
Filed under: uncultured archaeon
Lineage: Archaea
Description: partial 16S ribosomal RNA
Rfam family: Archaeal small subunit ribosomal RNA
Source: RNAcentral
UAGCCGUAAACGAUACUCGCUAGGUGUCGGCCACGGUGCGACCGUUGUCGGUGCCGUAGGGAAGCCGUGAAGCGAGCCACCUGGGAAGUACGGCCGCAAGGCUGAAACUUAAAGGAAUUGGCGGGGGAGCACAACAACGGGUGGAGCUUGCGGUUUAAUUGGAUUCAACGCCGGAAAUCUUACCGGGACCGACAGCAACUAUGAAGGCCAGGCUGAAGACUUUGCCGGAUUAGCUGAGAGGAGGUGCAUGGCGUAGUCGUGU